This 431-nucleotide ribosomal RNA is filed under the name uncultured bacterium. RNAcentral's name for it is "bacterial SSU rRNA". It matches the Rfam family "Bacterial small subunit ribosomal RNA", at positions 29 to 507 of the family's 1533-position model. The record is from RNAcentral.
AACGAACGCUGGCGGCAGGCUUAACACAUGCAAGUCGAACGCACCUUCGGGUGAGUGGCAGACGGGUGAGUAACGCGUGGGAACCUUCCCUGUGGUACGGAAUAGCUCCGGGAAACUGGAAUUAAUGCCGUAUACGCCCUUCGGGGGAAAGAUUUAUCGCCAUAGGAUGGGCCCGCGUCGGAUUAGCUUGUUGGUAGGGUAAUGGCCUACCAAGGCAACGAUCCGUAGCUGGUCUUAGAGGAUGAUCAGCCACACUGGGACUGAGACACGGCCCAGACUCCUACGGGAGGCAGCAGUGGGGAAUAUUGGACAAUGGGCGCAAGCCUGAUCCAGCCAUGCCGCGUGAGUGACGAAGGCCUUAGGGUUGUAAAGCUCUUUUGGCGGGGACGAUAAUGACGGUACCCGCAGAAUAAGCCCCGGCUAACUUCGUG